RNAcentral lists this small RNA (804 nucleotides) under Pan troglodytes (chimpanzee). Its description in RNAcentral is "processed transcript". The record is from RNAcentral. Lineage: Eukaryota; Metazoa; Chordata; Mammalia; Primates; Hominidae.
CCUUCUACACCCCCGAGGGGCUGCGCCACGGCACUCGCCUGCACACCCACCUGAUUGGCAACAUACACACUCACUUGGUGCACUACCGUGUAGACCUGGAUGUGGCAGGCACCAAGAACAGCUUCCAGACACUGCAGAUGAAGCUAGAAAACAUCACCAACCCCUGGAGCCCGAGACACCGCGUGGUCCAGCCAACUCUGGAGCAGACGCAGUACUCCUGGGAGCGCCAGGCGGCCUUCCGCUUCAAAAGGAAGCUGCCCAAGUACCUGCUCUUUACCAGCCCCCAGGAGAACCCCUGGGGCCACAAGCGCAGCUACCGCCUGCAGAUCCACUCCAUGGCCGACCAGGUGCUGCCCCCAGGCUGGCAGGAGGAGCAGGCCAUCACCUGGGCAAGGUACCCCCUGGCAGUGACCAAGUACCGGGAGUCGGAGCUGUGCAGCAGCAGCAUCUACCACCAGAACGACCCCUGGGACCCGCCCGUGGUCUUCGAGAAGUUUCUUCACAACAACGAGAACAUUGAAAAUGAGGACUUGGUGGCCUGGGUGACGGUGGGCUUCCUGCACAUCCCCCACUCAGAGGACAUUCCCAACACAGCCACACCUGGGAACUCCGUGGGCUUCCUGCUCCGGCCAUUCAACUUCUUCCCAGAGGACCCCUCCCUGGCAUCCAGAGACACUGUGAUCGUGUGGCCUCGGGACAAUGGCCCCAACUACGUCCAGCGCUGGAUCCCUGAGGACAGGGACUGCUCGAUGCCUCCCCCUUUUAGCUACAAUGGGACCUACAGACCUGUGUGACCAGCCCCCA